This is a long non-coding RNA of Drosophila eugracilis, 1483 nucleotides long. RefSeq lists it as uncharacterized. The record is from RefSeq and is a predicted model, not a curated record. The transcript is spliced from 4 exons. NCBI's taxonomy places the organism in Eukaryota, Metazoa, Arthropoda, Insecta, Diptera, Drosophilidae.
GUCAAAAUUAUAUAUAUUAAUUGCCAGAAAACCAUUGUUUGCCGAAUCACACUUUCUUUUCCUUUUUCGGAAUUCUGUGUUAAUUUUAAUCACAGUGCCUUAGACUUAUUUGCCAAUUUCGUUUGAUCAAGCUACAUCAAUAUUUAGUCUUAGUUUUUCAUUCCUGUUCGUGCGGCUUACGUGUAAGGAGCUCCCCGAUAAGAGUUUUUCGGUCGGCCUAACAAUACCGGUACAGAAAUAUAUAAAAUAUUAAAAGUGAUCAAAAUUAAACGCACAAUUUUGUAUCGGUACAGAAAUAUAUAAGAUUGUUAAAUUUAUUCGUAUAUACCAAAUAUUUGUUAUUAUUAGAAAGAAACCUACAUAAAUGAAAAUCAAAGUGCCUUACUUAUAGUCUGUAUAUAUAGUCUUUAGUCUGUCUUGCCGGUUCGUGUGGUUUAAUUUCAAGGACCUCAGAUUUAUUUGUCAAGUUCGUUUCAUCAAAUCACGUCAAAUUUUAGUCAUUCCUGUUCGUGCGGCAGAAAAAAGGUUUCCCCUAUAAGCCCUCGGAACAAGAAUCGCGAUUUUCUUGCCGGUUCGUGUGGCUUAUUUUCAGGAAGCUCCGCGUUUAAAUUACGGACCUCUUGACAACACUGCUUUUCGGUAUUUCGUUCGGACUGACAAUCAAAGUGCCUCAGAAUUAUUUGUCAAGUUCGUUUGAUGAAAUUACAUUAAACUGUAGUCCUACGAUUUUCAUUCCUGUUCGUGCGGCUAAUUGGUAAGGAGCUCUCCCUGUUCGUUUGGAAGUGAUUAAACGUCGGAAUGAAAGAAUGUCAAACCUCGGAUUUAUGUGAUACCGAUUGGAUGGACCUACGCCGAGUUCAAAGCUAAUAAUCCUUCCUGGACUAACAUGGAUAUCAAGAGGAUAUAGCUUUCUUGGCAAUUGUUUGCCGCUUUCGGGUCCUUCUCUUUGGAAUCUGAGGUGGGGGCUACUUAAGUCGGUUUGUUGAUCUGAAAGAAUACUCGCUAUUUCCUCGCGUUUCCGGUUUAGUUUCUUGAUCGGCGGCAGAUUAGGUUUGCCUCCCUUUGCGUGGCGCUUUUACUCAUGCUUAUUCUAUGAUGAGAAUAAUAAUGAGUAAAUGAGUCCCGGGAACUGUGGUUUGGAGUAUCUCCUUUAAAGCCAGAUAGAAAGGCUCUUGGGUACUCAUUCACGGUUUAACGUGGGACGCAAUCCAAAACUGCCGCCGUUCAAUAAACUGAAUCGGAACGGGAGGAACUAGGGAGUAUUCCUACCGAUAACCCAAUGGGCUUGAGAGAGCAGCACCUCCACAGAUUGCAAAUAGAGUGAUUCGUUGGCGACAAACAUUUGGGGAAAGAAAGCUGCAAGGAUCAUCAAGAAUUACAUCGAUCCAUGGGAUCCCAGAGGAAGCCAUCAAACGAUCCGUCGAACAGAACUCUUGCCCAUGUGGAAACAAAUUCAUUGUUAAAUAAAAAUUCUAUAAAUACA